RNAcentral lists this ribosomal RNA (433 nucleotides) under uncultured bacterium. Its description in RNAcentral is "partial 16S ribosomal RNA". It matches the Rfam family "Bacterial small subunit ribosomal RNA", at positions 29 to 507 of the family's 1533-position model. The record is from RNAcentral.
AACGAACGCUGGCGGCAGGCCUAACACAUGCAAGUCGAGCGGACCCUUCGGGGUUAGCGGCGGACGGGUGAGUAACGCGUGGGAAUAUGCCCUUCUCUACGGAAUAGUCCUGGGAAACUGGGGGUAAUACCGUAUACGCCCUUUGGGGGAAAGAUUUAUCGGGGAAGGAUUAGCCCGCGUUGGAUUAGGUAGUUGGUGGGGUAAUGGCCUACCAAGCCGACGAUCCAUAGCUGGUUUGAGAGGAUGAUCAGCCACACUGGGACUGAGACACGGCCCAGACUCCUACGGGAUGGAGGAGUGGGGAAUCUUAGAAAAUGGGGGCAACGCUGAUCGAGCCAUGCCGCGUGAGUGAUGAAGGCCUUAGGGUUGUAAAGCUCUUUCAGCUGGGAAGAUAAUGACGGUACCAGCAGAAGAAGCCCCGGCUAACUCCGUG